This 495-nucleotide ribosomal RNA is filed under the name uncultured bacterium. RNAcentral describes it as "partial 16S ribosomal RNA". It matches the Rfam family "Bacterial small subunit ribosomal RNA", at positions 28 to 507 of the family's 1533-position model. The record is from RNAcentral.
GACGAACGCUGGCGGCGUGCCUAAUACAUGCAAGUAGAACGCUGAAGGAGGAGCUUGCUUCUCUGGAUGAGUUGCGAACGGGUGAGUAACGCGUAGGUAACCUGCCUGGUAGCGGGGGAUAACUAUUGGAAACGAUAGCUAAUACCGCAUAAGAGUAGAUGUUGCAUGACAUUUGCUUAAAAGGUGCAAUUGCAUCACUACCAGAUGGACCUGCGUUGUAUUAGCUAGUUGGUGGGGUAACGGCUCACCAAGGCGACGAUACAUAGCCGACCUGAGAGGGGGAUCGGCCACACUGGGACUGAGACACGGCCCAGACUCCUACGGGAGGCAGCAGUAGGGAAUCUUCGGCAAUGGACGGAAGGCUGACCGAGCAACGCCGCGGGAGUGAAGAAGGUUUUCGGAUCGUAAAGCUCUGUUGUAAGAGAAGAACGAGUGUGAGAGUGGAAAGUUCACACUGUGACGGUAGCUUACCAGAAAGGGACGGCUAACUACGUG